RNAcentral lists this ribosomal RNA (257 nucleotides) under uncultured bacterium. RNAcentral describes it as "partial 16S ribosomal RNA". It matches the Rfam family "Bacterial small subunit ribosomal RNA", at positions 524 to 776 of the family's 1533-position model. The record is from RNAcentral.
UACGUAGGGUCCGAGCGUUGUCCGGAAUUACUGGGCGUAAAGAGCUCGUAGGUGGUUUGUCGCGUUGUUCGUGAAAACUCACAGCUCAACUGUGGGCGUGCGGGCGAUACGGGCAGACUAGAGUACUGCAGGGGAGACUGGAAUUCCUGGUGUAGCGGUGGAAUGCGCAGAUAUCAGGAGGAACACCGGUGGCGAAGGCGGUUCUCUGGGCCUUACCUGAACACUGGAGGAGCGGAAAAGCAUGGGGAGCGAACAGG